ACAGUAUAUCUCGGGUCUUCGCACGAAUCGGCAACCAAAUAUUUACUUCUCGGAGUAUCGUUUCUAAUUUUCUACAAAAAAUCUGUGGGUGUCAAUGAUAAGAUCGAAGAGAAAGUUCGCGAUUACGGACAAAUUUCUACCAAGGCUCGCCAAGAACCUUACCACGAGAAAAGGCAGUCGGCGCGCGAACACCGGCAACCGCCUGGAGCACGCAGUCCUCACCCACAUCCAGCACGUGCCGUAGAUCCGCAUUAAUCUGCACCCCUCCCCAUCGUCACUCAUCCUCACCGGCACCUCGAAAUUUAAACAGUCAUGGCGCGCGGAGACGAAUGUAAGACCACCACUAAAGCUAACUACGCGUGCAAGAAUUUGGACAUCACACCUCCUACUAUGAAAAACUCCAUAACCUCAUCUUACGACUACAAGAAGAAAGCAGAGCCGAAGAAGGACUACGGCGCUUGGGGCCCCGUCUACAAGGACAAGAAGACAUUCACCGACAUGCAUCUGUGCUGAACGGAGCCGGUCCAUUGACUCACCAUCAUCGCUUUCAACUUCUUCAUCAUCGUCGUUCUCAAUAAUUAUUAAAUGAUUGUUGUAUAAUUCUGUAACGUUUAUAUUGUUUUGUAAUUUGGAUUUAACAGCGACAUUACUAUUUCUUCAUCGUUGAUGAUAUGAUGAUAAUUGAUUGGCCAGAAAUCAGUUAUCAUCGCAGUACUGGCAUCUACAAAGACGAGAUUAUCUUGAAAUAAUUUAUGUGAAGAAUGUAUUUAUGUAUGCACAAUAAAAAUAAAAAUGAAGCGCAAAAAUGACCAGCCGCCAUUUUGGAAAUUAACGGUCUUUUGGUUUUGUUACACCACUAUUGUAACUACUUAAUUGUAAAAUAAGAAAUAAAUUCAGUAAAAUGAAUUGUUGUCGACGAUUCUUUUGCAAUGUGUAUCGCAUCGGGGUAGGGUUCGCUUACUAACAGCUUUUGUAUCAUUUUAACAGAUUAAAUUGCAUCGUUCAUUCGCUAAA
Plodia interpunctella (Indianmeal moth) is the source of this 1014-nucleotide long non-coding RNA. RefSeq lists it as uncharacterized. Lineage: Eukaryota; Metazoa; Arthropoda; Insecta; Lepidoptera; Pyralidae. The transcript is spliced from 4 exons. The record is from RefSeq and is a predicted model, not a curated record.